AGAAGUCGUAACAAGGUUUCCGUAGGUGAACCUGCGGAAGGAUCAUUGUCGAAACCURCCAAGCAGAACGACCCGCGAACUGGUAUAAUAACCGCAGGGGGUGCUUGCAGCGGGCUAGAUUGCCCUUGCUCUCUACCCCCUUUCUGGGUACGCUAUUGAACUGCGUUGCUCAGCUAAAAACAAACCCCGGCGCAAAUCGCGUCAAGGAACUCAAAAAYAAGAAGUGAAGCGCACCACCCCCUUGGGUAGCGGUCGCRUCUUUCAUGAACAUAAUGACUCUCGGCAACGGAUAUCUCGGCUCUCGCAUCGAUGAAGAACGUAGCGAAAUGCGAUACUUGGUGUGAAUUGCAGAAUCCCGUGAACCAUCGAGUCUUUGAACGCAAGUUGCGCCCGAAGCCAUUAGGCUGAGGGCACGUCUGCCUGGGCGUCUCACGUUGCGUCGCCCCCUCUCUCUGCGCCCGYGAAGGGCUCUUGGAUUGUGGGGGCGGAUUAUGGCCCCCCGUGUGCCCUAAGUGCACGGUCGGCCUAAAGAUAAGUCCCUGGCGACGAACGUCACGAUAAGUGGUGGAUGUGAUCACGUUGCGUCAUUUCGUGCACGUCUCGUCCCAACGGGUUGUAAUUUAUUUUUGACCUCGAAAGCCUCGAUCGCGACCCCAGGUCAGGCGGGACUACCCGCUGAGUUUAAGCAUAUCAAUAAGCGGAGGAAAAGAAACUUACGAGGAUUCCCCUAGUAACGGCGAGCGAACCGGGAAU
Molecule: ribosomal RNA, 753 nt
Filed under: Pouteria ramiflora
Lineage: Eukaryota; Viridiplantae; Streptophyta; Magnoliopsida; Ericales; Sapotaceae
Description: eukaryotic LSU rRNA
Source: RNAcentral